This 914-nucleotide ribosomal RNA is filed under the name uncultured archaeon. RNAcentral describes it as "bacterial SSU rRNA". It matches the Rfam family "Archaeal small subunit ribosomal RNA", at positions 1 to 922 of the family's 1478-position model. The record is from RNAcentral.
UUCCGGUUGAUCCUGCCGGACCUGACUGCUAUCGGAUUGAUACUAAGCCAUGUGAGUCAUUGUAGCAAUACAAGGCAGACGGCUCAGUAACACGUAGCCAAUCUAACCUAUGGACGGGGAUAACCUCGGGAAACUGAGGAUAAACCCCGAUAGAUCAUUAUGCCUGGAACGGUUUAUGGUCCAAAUGAUUCGUCGCCGUAGGAUGAGACUGCGGCCUAUCAGCUUGUUGGUGAGGUAAUGGCCCACCAAGGCUAUUACAGGUACGGGCUCUGAGAGGAGAGGCCCGGAGAUGGGUACUGAGACACGGACCCAGGCCCUAUGGGGCGCAGCAGGCGAGAAACCUUUGCAAUGUGCGCAAGCACGACAAGGUUAAUCCGAGUGAUUCCUGCUAAAGGAAUCUUUUGUUAGUCUUAAAAUCACUAUUGAAUAAGGGGUGGGCAAGUUCUGGUGUCAGCCGCCGCGGUAAAACCAGCACCCCAAGUGGUCAGGAGGAUUAUUGGGCCUAAAGCAUCCGUAGCCUGCUCUGUAAGUUUCCGGUUAAAUCCAUUAGCUCAACUAAUGGCCUGCCGGAAAUACUGCAGAGCUAGGAAGUGGGAGAGGUAGACGGUACUCGGUAGGAAGGGGUAAAAUCCUUUGAUCUAUUGAUGACCACCUGUGGCGAAGGCGGUCUACCAGAACACGUUCGACGGUGAGGGAUGAAAGCUGGGGGAGCAAACCGGAUUAGAUACCCGGGUAGUCCCAGCUGUAAACGAUGCAGACUCGGUGAUGCGCUGGCUUGUGGCCAGUGCAGUGCCGCAGGGAAGCCGUUAAGUUCGCCGCCUGGGAAGUACGUACGCAAGUAUGAAACUUAAAGGAAUUGGCGGGGGAGCACCACAAGGGGUGAAGCCUGCGGUUCAAUUGGAUUCAACGCCGGA